UGGGGAAUAUUGCACAAUGGGCGAAAGCCUGAUGCAGCGACGCCGCGUGAGGGAUGACGACCUUCGGGUUGUAAACCUCUUUCAGCAGGGACGAAGCGCAAGUGACGGUACCUGCAGAAGAAGCACCGGCUAACUACGUGCCAGCAGCCGCGGUAAUACGUAGGGUGCAAGCGUUGUCCGGAAUUACUGGGCGUAAAGAGUUCGUAGGCGGUUUGUCGCGUCGUUUGUGAAAACCAGCAGCUCAACUGCUGGCUUGCAGGCGAUACGGGCAGACUUGAGUACUGCAGGGGAGACUGGAAUUCCUGGUGUAGCGGUGAAAUGCGCAGAUAUCAGGAGGAACACCGGUGGCGAAGGCGGGUCUCUGGGCAGUAACUGACGCUGAGGAACGAAAGCGUGGGUAGCGAACAGG
Molecule: ribosomal RNA, 409 nt
Filed under: bacterium
Lineage: Bacteria
Description: partial 16S ribosomal RNA
Rfam family: Bacterial small subunit ribosomal RNA
Source: RNAcentral